This 492-nucleotide ribosomal RNA is filed under the name uncultured bacterium. RNAcentral describes it as "partial 16S ribosomal RNA". It matches the Rfam family "Bacterial small subunit ribosomal RNA", at positions 29 to 507 of the family's 1533-position model. The record is from RNAcentral.
AGUGAACGCUGGCGGUAGGCCUAACACAUGCAAGUCGAACGGCAGCACAGUAAGAGCUUGCUCUUACGGGUGGCGAGUGGCGGACGGGUGAGGCAUACAUCGGAAUCUACUUUUUCGUGGGGGAUAACGUAGGGAAACUUACGCUAAUACCGCAUACGACCUACGGGUGAAAGCAGGGGAUCUUCGGACCUUGCGCGAUUGAAUGAGCCGAUGUCGGAUUAGCUAGUUGGCGGGGUAAAGGCCCACCAAGGCGACGCUACGUAGCUGGUCUGAGAGGAUGAUCAGCCACACUGGAACUGAGACACGGUCCAGACUCCUACGGGAGGCAGCAGUGGGGAAUAUUGGACAAUGGGCGCAAGCCUGAUCCAGCCAUACCGCGUGGGUGAAGAAGGCCUUCGGGUUGUAAAGCCCUUUUGUUGGGAAAGAAAAGCAGCAGGUUAAUACCCCGCUGUUCUGACGGUACCCAAAGAAUAAGCACCGGCUAACUUCGUG